RNAcentral lists this ribosomal RNA (470 nucleotides) under uncultured bacterium. RNAcentral's name for it is "partial 16S ribosomal RNA". It matches the Rfam family "Bacterial small subunit ribosomal RNA", at positions 28 to 507 of the family's 1533-position model. The record is from RNAcentral.
GACGAACGCUGGCGGCGUGCUUAACACAUGCAAGUCGAACGGUGAACGAGGGAGCUUGCUCCCUCCGGAUCAGUGGCGAACGGGUGAGUAACACGUGAGCAAUCUGCCCCGAACUCUGGGAUAAGCGUUGGAAACGACGUCUAAUACCGGAUACGACGCGGGAGGGCAUCCUCUCCGCGUGGAAAGAACUUCGGUUCGGGAUGAGCUCGCGGCCUAUCAGCUUGUUGGUGAGGUAACGGCUGACCAAGGCGACGACGGGUAGCCGGCCUGAGAGGGUGACCGGCCACCCUGGGACUGAGACACGGCCCAGACUCCUACGGGAGGCAGCAGUGGGGAAUAUUGCACAAUGGGCGCAAGCCUGAUGCAGCAACGCCGCGUGAGGGACGACGGCCUUCGGGUUGUAAACCUCUUUUAGCAGGGAAGAAGCGAAAGUGACGGUACCUGCAGAAAAAGCACCGGCUAACUACGUG